Molecule: transfer RNA, 71 nt
Filed under: Marmota monax (woodchuck)
Lineage: Eukaryota; Metazoa; Chordata; Mammalia; Rodentia; Sciuridae
Description: tRNA.Ala
Source: RNAcentral
GGGGUUGUGGCUCAAUGGAAGAGUACUUGCCUAGCAUGCAUGAGGCAUUGGGUUUGAUCCCCAGAAGCACA